Molecule: ribosomal RNA, 318 nt
Filed under: uncultured soil bacterium
Lineage: Bacteria
Description: bacterial SSU rRNA
Rfam family: Bacterial small subunit ribosomal RNA
Source: RNAcentral
AGAGUGAACGCUGGCGGCAGGCCUAACACACGCAAGUCGAACGGCAGCACAGUAAGAGCUUGCUCUUAUGGGUGGCGGGUGGCGGACGGGUGAGGAAUACAUCGGAAUCUGCCUAUUUGUGGGGGAUAACGUAGGGAAACUUACGCUAAUACCGCAUACGACCUACGGGUGAAAGCGGAGGACCUUCGGGCUUCGCGCAGAUAGAUGAGCCGAUGUCGGAUUAGCUAGGUUGGUGGGGUAAAGCCCACCAAGGCGACGAUCCGUAGCUGGUCUGAGAGGAUGAUCAGCCACACUGGAACUGAGACACGGUCCCAGACU